AAAUAGAGUAAGCCAAGCAGGGAGUUCUAAAUAGCGUAAGCUGAGCAGGAAUACUACAUAACAUAAGCAGAGCGGGUAUUCCUAAAUAAAGUAAGGCAAGUUCCAAAUAGCGUAAGCUGAGCAGGUAUUCCUUAUUAGGGUAAGCUAAGCAGGGAUUCCUGAAUAGUGUUAACUGAGCAGGGAUUCCUGAAUAGUGUUGGCUGAGCAGGGAUUCCUAAAUGGUGUAAGCUGAGCAGGUAUUCCUUACUAGAGUAAGCUGAGUGGGGAUUCCUAAAUAGAGUAAACAGAGCAGGGAGUUUUAAAUAGCGUAAGCUUUGCGGGGAUUCCUAAAUAGAGUAAGCUGAGCAGGUAUUCCUAAAUAGAGUAAACUGAGCAGGUAUUCCUAAAUAGAGUAAGCUGAGCAGGGUUUCCUACAUGUAACUAGAUUAAGCUGAGCAGGGUGAUGUCUGUGCUGUAACAUAUGGACAUCCAGGGAAUGAUUCUGAAUCAACAGAAAUAUUUUUAACAUACAUCACAAGAUUCAAUAUGGUCAGAAAUAAAUUUAAUUCUAUUUUAAGGUGGCUCAUUACACCUAGGAAGAGUUUAUGUUUUUAAUUUUUUUUAAUGUGUUUCGCCACAUUCAACAAUUUUUCAGUUAAAUAGUGGCGCCCAGUAUUUUGUUGGUGGAAGAGAGAACCCAGAUACAAUGUACGGUCAGGGAAGAGACCACCGACUUUCUGAAAGUAAACUGGGAAACUUUCUCACUUACUGGCGCGAGCGGAAUUAAAAAAAAAGUUUAUUAAAUCAGCACAAAAUGGUUUAAUCAUGAUAGAGAUGAAGAUAUGUAGUCAGUGCAUUUGUCAAAAAGACCCAAAAAUAUGCAAUUUUGGAGAGAAAGAUAUGAUUUUCAAUUUUUUUUCAGUAAAUGACACAAAAGACACUGUAUGAUUUGAACUCGGGAUCUGCGAAUCUGCAACCUGAUACCUUAUCUACCGAGCUUCUUAUAUAUACAAACAUUUCAUUUAACACAAGUAAUUUCGCAUAACAUUUCAAUCACCGUCUUGCGAUAUAGUGUCAAAAGAUGUAUAGGCCUUGAUGUAGUGAACAAUUUAGUUGAAAUUAGAUCCUUUGAUCCGGCCACCUACUAUUGCUACACAAAGAUUGAGUGGAUCAAAUGGUCUAAUUUUGAUUUAGAUCGUGUAGGGAUAUGAAACAAAACCAUGCUGUGGUAGGAUUUGCUUUAAAUGUAAUGCUGUAAUAAAAGACAAAAUUUAACAAUUUACUAAUUGAACACAAUAAUUAUGAAUUGUUAAUGAUUCGUCUCACCUUAGGAACUUUGUGUGAUUCUUGUCAGUUUUAGCUCACCUGAACCGAAGGUUCAAGUGAGCUUUUCUGAUCGCUUUUUGUCCGUCGUCUGUCUGUCUGUUUGUCUGUCUGUUAAACUUUUCACAUUUUCGACUUCUUCUCCAGAACCACUGGGCCAAUUUCAACCAAACAUGGCCAAAAGUAUCCUUGGGUGAAGGGCUUUCAAGUUUGUUCAAAUGAAGGGCCAUGUCCCUUUCAAAGGGGGGAUAAUCACAAAAAUGCAAAAAUACGGUGGGUUCAUUUAAAAAUCUUCUUCUCAAGAACCACUGGGCCAGAAGAGCUGAAAUUUACCUGAAAGCUUCCUGACAUAUUGCACAUUCAAGUUUGUUCAAAUCAUGGGCCCCUGGGGUUGGAUGGGGCCACAAUAGGGGAUUAAAGUUUUACAUACAAAUAUAUAGGAAAAAUCUUUAAAAAUCUUCUCAAGAACCACUGAGCCAGAAAAGCUUAUAUUUACAUGAAAACCUUCUGACAUUGUGCAGAUUCAAGUUUGUUCAAAUCAUGGCCCCCAGGGGUAGGAUGGGGCCACAAGGGGGGAUCAAAGUUUUACAUACAAAUAUAUAGUUAAAAUCUUUUUCUCAAUAACCACAGAGUCAGAAAAGCUGAUAUUUACAAGAAAACUUUCUGACAUAGUGCUGAUUCAAGUUUGUUCAAAUCAUGGCCCCUGGGGGGGUAGGAUGGGGCCACAAGUGGGGGGGUCAAAUUUUUACAUACAAAUAUAGGAAAAAGCUUUAAAAAUCUUCUUCUCAAGAACCAUUGGGCCAAAGAAGUUGACAUUUACAUGAAAGCUUUCUGACAUAGUGUAGAUUCAAGUUUGCAAAGGGUAGUUUGGGCCAUAAUAGGGACUAAGGUUUUACAUGCAAAUAUAUAUGGAAAGUCUUUAGAUAUGGGCCAAGGUGACUCAGGUGAGUGAUGUGGCCCAUGGGCCUCUUGUUUAUUUUUCAGAGAACAUGAAAACUUUUGGAGCUCAGAUCCAGUGAUAACUAUUGGAAACCAGAAUAUCAUUUCUGUCCCUGAUGCCCUUAUCUACCAAGCCGCAAAGAAAUUGUCAUCAAAAGAGGAAAUAGUAGCAGUAGUGAAGGUGAGAAAGAAACACAGAAGCAGAAGACAGCGUAUCUGAAGGAACAGCGAGAAACGCUGAGAAGAUAACUCCUGAUCUAAAUCAUCUCCACUCGAGCGUGACAGGACAACAUGUUGGCGAGAUGUUAUCGAUACUUCCCAGAUCUGUUUUUGGUAUCAAUGACAUCUAUGGAAUCAUUGUCCAGGGAACAGAGGUGACGAUUGCUUUCCUGAGUGUUGGAGAAGAGUAUUAUAGAAAUCUGAAGGAAGGAUCCCUACAAAAGCUGUCAUCUGUAGUAAAGUACAGCAGGCCUUAUAACUACCUACACAAACGUGAAAGAGAAAAUUUUAUCAAGACAUUCGUGGACAUGGGAGUACUAUCGGAUAAUUUACAAUGAUUUGUUAUUCUUUAAAUUAAAUAAACAAGUUUAUUUUU
RNA transcript from Ostrea edulis (European flat oyster), 2836 nucleotides. RefSeq lists it as uncharacterized. The transcript is spliced from 3 exons. The record is from RefSeq and is a predicted model, not a curated record. Lineage: Eukaryota; Metazoa; Mollusca; Bivalvia; Ostreida; Ostreidae.